GACGAACGCUGGCGGCGGGCUUAACACAUGCAAGUCGAACGGUGAAGCGCCUUCCUUUUUGGUUGGUGUGGAUGAGUGGCGAACGGGUGAGGAACACGUGAGUAACCUGCCCCCUCCUUCUGGAUAACCGCAUGAAACUGUCGCUAAUACGGCAUAUUCUGUGCCUGUCGCAUGAUGGGUCUGUGGAAGCUUUUGUUUCGGUGGGGGAUGGGCUCGCGGCCUAUCUGCUUGUUGGUGGGGUGAUGGCCUAGCAAGGCGGUGAGGGGUAGCCGGCCGGGGAGGGUCAGCGACAACAGAGGUGCUGCACGGCGGCGACGCCUCCGACGGGAGGCAGCAGGGAAGAAUAGUGAACAAUGGGAAGAAGGAUGCAGCAGCGACGCGGGGUGAGGGAAGGAGGCCUGCGGGUAGUGAACCUCCGUCGCGAGUGAAGAACGCCUGCCUAGUUUGUGGGUGGGUUGACGGUAGCUAGAGAAGAAGCGCCGGCUAACUACGUG
RNAcentral lists this ribosomal RNA (494 nucleotides) under uncultured bacterium. RNAcentral's name for it is "partial 16S ribosomal RNA". It matches the Rfam family "Bacterial small subunit ribosomal RNA", at positions 28 to 507 of the family's 1533-position model. The record is from RNAcentral.